RNAcentral lists this long non-coding RNA (1266 nucleotides) under Dromaius novaehollandiae (emu). RNAcentral describes it as "lncRNA (ENSDNVG00000013402.1)". The record is from RNAcentral. Lineage: Eukaryota; Metazoa; Chordata; Aves; Casuariiformes; Dromaiidae.
AUGGAUUUCCCCUUCCUUUUUCAGAGCGCUUGGCUCCAGGACCUUAAGGAUGAUUUCCUCAUAUCCUUAUAUUCUUGCCUUAGCCCUAAGCCUGUCAGUGCAGUGGAUCCAGCAUACUCCAUUCUGUUCUUUUCCAAGUACGAUGCCAACAAGCUUGUAGCUGCCCUGACUGCCUUCAGCCRGCGGUUUUCUCAUGUGCCUCUCUCGCAAAACUGGAGCAUGAUCUUCAUUAAUGGCCUGUGGGAGAAGAUGUUACAAGUACCUGACAUUGACAGCCCACCCGUUUUGUUUCGAUGGGUCCAUGAGGGGCUUCAGCCAUUCCUGGUGAAGCCCACGGUCUUUGCUUGCCUCCAUGCCAAAAAAGUGUUGUGCAAGACUUUUCAGGAGAUAGUUACUGCCCUGAACGGCAUCUAUUCUAAMCUUCCAGUAGAAGAACAGAGGAAUCUUUACAAUGGGAUCAAGUACUACCUCAUCCAGGAUGGGUCAAAACAGAAAUGCUACAAUGCAGCCAUUCCAGGUUUGAAUUCCACUGCUUGGUUUGAAAAUUAUCUGGGAUCCUUUAUGGAGCAUGCUACUGUUGGAGACUUGCAGCUUUUUGCUGAUGAAUCAACACUUCAGCAGUUUGCCAGGGAUCCGGCCAAUAUACAAAUGGUCAGCAACCUCACUUUGCUGCGGACAACAGCCGUGUAUUACACCUUGCUGCUGACCUCUGGGCCUAGCUUCCCCUUAUCGAGUCUCCCAGACAGGUUUGUUUGCUACCUGAGCCCCUCCGCUGUGAGCAGCCUGAGCAGAGAUGAGGCUUUGAGCUUGGCCCAGAGGAUCAGUAAGAACUGCCCCAUGAACAUGACACACACAGGAGCAAAUAAGGAGAGACCUCACUCUUCAUCCCUGACAACGGAGGAGCUGCAGGUUGCAUCCUCUUUGGUGAGAAAGUUUGAACAUUUCCCGCCUGCAAUCCUGCAUGCAUUGGGCCAGGCUGCCGUUGGGCUGUCCGUAUCCCAGAUUGAGAAUAGCAUCAGUGGUAAGGACMUUGAAGCAUCUCUUUCUGCCCUGAGUGAAGUUCAUGGCUGGAACACUGAGCAGUCCAGCACUAUUGUCAACAAAUUGCUCAGCUCUGGCUAUCAGGUACAAAURAUAAGGUCCACAUAUGCACCUCACACCUGGUAUUGCUGUAGCUGCAAAAAUAAUGAUGUAUGGCCUGUAACGUCCUCUUGCCUGUAUGCGUUGCCUUUCAGAUCACAGAUGGCCAGAGCCUGGCRAAGCUAG